AGUGGCGGACGGGUGAGUAACGCGUGAGAAUCUGCCUUCAGGUCUGGGACAACAGAAGGAAACUUCUGCUAAUCCCGGAUGAGCCUUAGGGUAAAAGAUAAAUUGCCUGGAGAUGAGCUCGCGUCUGAUUAGCUAGUUGGUGUGGUAAAAGCAUACCAAGGCAACGAUCAGUAGCUGGUCUGAGAGGAUGAGCAGCCACACUGGGACUGAGACACGGCCCAGACUCCUACGGGAGGCAGCAGUGGGGAAUAUUGCACAAUGGGGGAAACCCUGAUGCAGCCAUGCCGCGUGUGUGAAGAAGGCCUUCGGGUUGUAAAGCACUUUCAGUUGUGAGGAAAAGUUAGUAGUUAAUACCUGCUAGCCGUGACGUUAACAACAGAAGAAGCACCGGCUAACUCCGUGCCAGCAGCCGCGGUAAUACGGAGGGUGCGAGCGUUAAUCGGAAUUACUGGGCGUAAAGCGCACGCAGGCGGUUUGUUAAGCUAGAUGUGAAAGCCCCGGGCUCAACCUGGGAUGGUCAUUUAGAACUGGCAGACUAGAGUCUUGGAGAGGGGAGUGGAAUUCCAGGUGUAGCGGUGAAAUGCGUAGAUAUCUGGAGGAACAUCAGUGGCGAAGGCGACUCCCUGGCCAAAGACUGACGCUCAUGUGCGAAAGUGUGGGUAGCGAACAGGAUUAGAUACCCUGGUAGUCCACACCGUAAACGCUGUCUACUAGCUGUGUGUGUCUUUAAGACGUGCGUAGCGAAGCUAACGCGCUAAGUAGACCGCCUGGGGAGUACGGCCGCAAGGUUAAAACUCAAAUGAAUUGACGGGGGGCC
This 817-nucleotide ribosomal RNA is filed under the name uncultured bacterium. Its description in RNAcentral is "bacterial SSU rRNA". It matches the Rfam family "Bacterial small subunit ribosomal RNA", at positions 94 to 922 of the family's 1533-position model. The record is from RNAcentral.